Molecule: long non-coding RNA, 981 nt
Filed under: Pan troglodytes (chimpanzee)
Lineage: Eukaryota; Metazoa; Chordata; Mammalia; Primates; Hominidae
Description: lincRNA
Source: RNAcentral
AGGGGAGGAAAGGUCUUGAGGGAGCAGCACGCUUGCCUGAUGGGUGCCCAAAGCCAGGGGCAGGUGGAGGUGAGAGAAGGACAAGCUCUGCAAACGUUGCGGAAGCGCUCUGUCCAUGGAGAAGGCACAGGACUUCCAUGUGGGGAGCAGCUUACUCCUGCUGAGAACUUUGGGGAGACAGAGUGGAGCAGCCAUCUCAGACCUGAGCGGCUAAGGAGCUGGGUCCCCCUCUGUUGCACUGUGCAGAGCUGCUGGACUUUGCAGUAAGCAGCCUUCAGGUCUAAAGGCUCCACAUUGUAAGGAAGCCCAGUCACAUGGACAGACCAUAUGGGUCCAGUUGGCUGCCCCAGCCAAGGUUUCGGCCAACAGCCAAGAUUACCCACAGCCACGUGUAUGAAUGAGCCUUCAAAUGAGUCCAGCACCCAGCAGAAUAAUGCCCCCUCCAGUCUCACAAAGAUUUCCAUGCCCUAAUUCCUGGAACCUGUGAAUCUGCUACAUCACAUGGCAAGCAGAGCUGGCAGAUGGAAUUUAGGGUGUGGAGCUUGAGGUGGGGAGGGCAGCCUGGAUUACACAGGUGGGCCCUAUCUAAGCACAUGAGCCCUUAUACAAGCAAAGAACAUUUCCUCAGCUGCCAGACAGCUGGCAAACAGAAUUGGAGAGGCAGAGAGAUGUAAUCAGAAAGGGCAGAAGAGACUUAAAAGGAAGAGAUGCUCAACCUGCUGUGGCUACCUUUGAAAAUGGAGGAAUGGGGCUCCAAGCCAAGGGAUGCAGGCUGCCUCUUCAUUGGAGUACUGCCAGCAAGAAAACAGCCCAGCAAUUGCAAGGAAAUUAAUUUUCCCAACAGUCUGAAUGAGCAAGAAAAUGGACUCUCCCCUGCCACGCUCUGAGUUCAGCCUUGUGAGACUCUAAGCAGAUACCCACUCAAGCCCACAGGACGUCCAACCCAUAACAAUUGUAAGAUAAUAAACUGGGAUAGUUUUA